UGUGUGUGUGUGUGUGUGUGUGUGUGUGUGUGUGUGUACUGUUUGGGCUGUUUUGCCAUAAUGAGUUAGAGCAUUUUGUUUAUCUACGCUGUGCGUGUCUCUCUCUCUCUGUGUGUGUGUGUGUGUGUGUGUGUGUGUACUGUUUGGAUUGUGGUGCCAUAAUGAGUUAAAACGUUUUUUGUUUGUCUAUAUUGUGUGUGUGUGUGUGUGUGUGUUUGUGUGUGUGUUUUGAUUUGAUCUGUGGUUUGAGCUAGUUGUCUGAUGUGUGUGUGUGUGUAGAUUUUGAGAGAGUUUGGAGAGUUUAUCUGAAAAGUUUGUGUCUAGUUUAUGUUUCUUUACGGUUUGUGCUGUUGCGUUUUAGUGAAAAUUUAAACCAGCACAGAUUAAGAUUGAGAGGCAGCACAGAGAUUGAGAUUGACAGGCAGCACAGAGAUUACGAUUGAGAGGCAGCACAGAGAUUGAGAGGCAGCACAGAUAUUGAGAUUGAGAGGCAGCACAGAGAUUGAGAUUGAGAGGCAGCACAGAGAUUGAGAGGCAGCACAGAGAUUGAAAGGCAGCAUAGAGAUUAAGAUUGAGAGGCAGCACAGAGAUUGAGAUUGACAGGCAGCACAGAGAUUGAGAUUGAGAGGCAGCACAGAGAUUACGAUUGAGAGGCAGCACAGAGAUUGAGAGGCAGCACAGAUAUUGAGAUUGAGAGGCAGCACAGAGAUUGAGAUUGAGAGGCAGCACAGAGAUUGAGAGGCAGCACAGAGAUUGAAAGGCAGCAUAGAGAUUAAGAUUGAGAGGCAGCACGGAGAUUAAGAUUGAGAGGCAGCACAGAGAUUGAGAUUGAGAGGCAGCACAGAUAAUGAGAUUGAGAGGCCAGCACAGAUUAAGAUUGAGAGGAAGCACAGAGAUUGAGAUUGACAGGCAGCACAGAGAUUAAGAUUGAGAGGCAGCACAGAGAUUGAGAGGCAGCACAGACAUUAAGAUUGAGAGGCAGCACAGAGAUUGAGAGGCAGCACAGAGAUUGAGAGGCAGCACAGAGAUUGAGAUUGAGAGGCAGCACAGACAUUAAGAUUGAGAGGCAGCACAGACAUUAAGAUUGAGAGGCAGCAGAGACAUUAAGAUUGAGAGGCUGCAUAGAGAUUGAGAUUGAGAGGCAGCACAGACAUUAAGAUUGAGAGACGGCACAGAGAUUAA
Clupea harengus (Atlantic herring) is the source of this 1182-nucleotide long non-coding RNA. The record is from Ensembl. Lineage: Eukaryota; Metazoa; Chordata; Actinopteri; Clupeiformes; Clupeidae.